This 254-nucleotide ribosomal RNA is filed under the name uncultured bacterium. RNAcentral describes it as "partial 16S ribosomal RNA". It matches the Rfam family "Bacterial small subunit ribosomal RNA", at positions 524 to 776 of the family's 1533-position model. The record is from RNAcentral.
UACGUAGGGGGCUAGCGUUGUCCGGAUUUAUUGGGCGUAAAGAGCUCGUAGGCGGUUCGGUAAGUCGGGGGUGAAAUCUCCACGCUCAACGUGGAGGGGCCACCCGAUACUGCCAUGACUCGAGUCCGGUAGGGGAGUGUGGAAUUCCCGGUGUAGCGGUGAAAUGCGCAGAUAUCGGGAGGAACACCCGUAGCGAAGGCGGCACUCUGGGCCGGUACUGACGCUGAGGAGCGAAAGCGUGGGUAGCAAACAGG